AGCGAACGCUGGCGGCAGGCUUAACACAUGCAAGUCGAACGGGCUUCUUCGGAAGUCAGUGGCAGACGGGUGAGUAACACGUGGGAACGUGCCUUCGGUUCGGAAUAACUCAGGGAAACUUGAGCUAAUACCGGAUACGCCCUUUUGGGGAAAGGUUUACUGCCGAAGGAUCGGCCCGCGUCUGAUUAGCUUGUUGGUGGGGUAACGGCCUACCAAGGCGACGAGCAGUAGCUGGUCUGAGAGGAUGAUCAGCCACACUGGGACUGAGACACGGCCCAGACUCUACGGGAGGCAGCAGUGGGGAAUAUUGGACAAUGGGCGCAAGCCUGAUCCAGCCAUGCCGCGUGAGUGAUGAAGGCCUUAGGGUUGUAAAGCUCUUUUGUCCGGGACGAUAAUGACGGUACCGGAAGAAUAAGCCCCGGCUAACUCGUGC
Molecule: ribosomal RNA, 433 nt
Filed under: uncultured Alphaproteobacteria bacterium
Lineage: Bacteria; Pseudomonadati; Pseudomonadota; Alphaproteobacteria
Description: bacterial SSU rRNA
Rfam family: Bacterial small subunit ribosomal RNA
Source: RNAcentral